UACUUGAAUAGCUUAUGUAGAGCGCGACGCUGAAGAUGUCGAUGAGGUAUUUGAUACCUUUAAGUA
RNAcentral lists this transfer RNA (66 nucleotides) under Astalotermes sp. A JRA-2021a. RNAcentral describes it as "tRNA-Phe". The record is from RNAcentral. Lineage: Eukaryota; Metazoa; Arthropoda; Insecta; Blattodea; Termitidae.